Molecule: ribosomal RNA, 168 nt
Filed under: Phoradendron forestierae
Lineage: Eukaryota; Viridiplantae; Streptophyta; Magnoliopsida; Santalales; Viscaceae
Description: 5.8S ribosomal RNA
Rfam family: 5.8S ribosomal RNA
About the family: 5.8S ribosomal RNA (5.8S rRNA) is a component of the large subunit of the eukaryotic ribosome. It is transcribed by RNA polymerase I as part of the 45S precursor that also contains 18S and 28S rRNA. Functionally, it is thought that 5.8S rRNA may be involved in ribosome translocation.
Source: RNAcentral
UGAAUGACCCUCGACGACGGAUAUCUUGGCUCUUGCAUCGAUGAAGAACGCAGCGAAAUGCGAUACGUUGUGUGAAUUGCAGAAUCCCGUGAACCAUUGAAUUUUUGAACGCAAGUUGCGCCCAAUGCCAUUUAUUGGCUGAGGGCAUGCCUGCCUGGGUGUCAUUCA